AGCCUGUGCGCUGGCGUGCUCGAGUCGGUGAUCGUCGUUCUGGUGCCUUCCACGCCGUCAAUAUAUAGGGCGCCACUGGGCGUCGUCGAUAUCGCCCGAAGCUCUGCGCAUCUUUGUUCCUUCUUGGCUAUUCCCUGUCGGCGCCCCUGCUCUUUUUCUUCCGCGCUGCUUGGCCUUUCUUCUUUGUUGGCUGGGGCUCGUGGCAGCCGGCUUCGUUUAGGGUUUCGCUCGGCUUCGGCGGUUGCUCUUGGUGCGUUUUAGCAUCCGCCGGAUUUGUUGAUUUCUGAAUCUAGGGUGUUGCUGCUCCGUCGCAGUUGCAGGUCGCUCGUCGUUUGAGGUUCUCGUUGCCAAACACUGCUAGAGGUGCGUUUCUUCUCUGCACAGAUCGCACUUUGUUUGGCUGGAGCAACGCUACGAGAGGUGCUGUCAUGUGCAGGAGGAGAAGACCGGGUUGCCUAGGCUGGACACCAAGAACAAGAAUAAGGCUAGAGAUGGGAAGAAAUGAGUGGCACUGGAUCCGACCCUGUGACAAUUUCUAAUGGUUCUGUUCAGCUAAGAUUGUCAAAUGCAAUUCCAAGAGAAAAAGGGAAACGUUGC
Long non-coding RNA from Brachypodium distachyon (stiff brome), 597 nucleotides. RefSeq lists it as uncharacterized. Lineage: Eukaryota; Viridiplantae; Streptophyta; Magnoliopsida; Poales; Poaceae. The record is from RefSeq and is a predicted model, not a curated record. The transcript has 3 exons.